Molecule: transfer RNA, 73 nt
Filed under: Stegodyphus mimosarum
Lineage: Eukaryota; Metazoa; Arthropoda; Arachnida; Araneae; Eresidae
Rfam family: tRNA
About the family: Transfer RNA (tRNA) molecules are approximately 80 nucleotides in length.
Source: Rfam by way of RNAcentral
GUCUUCGUGGUGUAGUGGACAGUACGCUCGACGCGUAACCGAGAGGUCCGUGGUUCGAUUCCCGGUGAAGGCA